UUGGUAGGCCAAGGUGUCGUAG
Molecule: non-coding RNA, 22 nt
Filed under: Arabidopsis thaliana (thale cress)
Lineage: Eukaryota; Viridiplantae; Streptophyta; Magnoliopsida; Brassicales; Brassicaceae
Source: RNAcentral